RNAcentral lists this unclassified non-coding RNA (266 nucleotides) under plant metagenome. RNAcentral's name for it is "partial contains small subunit ribosomal RNA, internal transcribed spacer 1, and 5.8S ribosomal RNA". The record is from RNAcentral.
UUUCCGUAGGUGAACCUGCGGAAGGAUCAUUAUCGUACAAAAUGUGAGGGGCAUGCGAGGGCUGUCGCUGACCCAAAAGUCAUGCACGCCCGAGUGUGUCCUCUUGCAUAAUAAUCCAUCUCACCCUUUGUGCAUCACCGCGUGGGCACCCUUCGGGAUCAUCUCGGUGGGGGCUCGCGUUUUCACACAAACCCCCCUUUUAAAAGUGUAGAAUGACCACAUUUAUGCAAUCAAUACAACUUUCAACAACGGAUCUCUUGGCUCUC